UGCUGCUAAUAUGCACAUGUGUGCAAAACCUCCGUUUGUAUACGGAUUUAUGUCAAAAUUUGUUUCCAUGUUUCGUUUAUAUUGUCAUAUAAAACCGCUAACUUA
Thalassophryne amazonica is the source of this 105-nucleotide long non-coding RNA. RefSeq lists it as uncharacterized. The transcript is spliced from 3 exons. NCBI's taxonomy places the organism in Eukaryota, Metazoa, Chordata, Actinopteri, Batrachoidiformes, Batrachoididae. The record is from RefSeq and is a predicted model, not a curated record.